AUUGAACGCUGGCGGCAGGCCUAACACAUGCAAGUCGAACGGUAGCACGGAGAGCUUGCUCUCGGGUGACGAGUGGCGGACGGGUGAGUAAUGUCUGGGAAACUGCCCGAUGGAGGGGGAUAACUACUGGAAACGGUAGACAAUACCGCAUAACGUCGCAAGACCAAAGUGGGGGACCUUCGGGCCUCACACCAUCGGAUGUGCCCAGAUGGGAGUAGCUAGUAGGGGGGGUAAUGGCUCACCUAGGCGACGAUCCCUAGCUGGUCUGAGAGGAUGACCAGCCACACUGGAACUGAGACACGGUCCAGACUCCUACGGGAGGCAGCAGUGGGGAAUAUUGCACAAUGGGCGCAAGCCUGAUGCAGCCAUGCCGCGUGUAUGUAGAAGGCCUUCGGGUUGUAAAGUACUUUCAGCGGGGAGGAAGGCGGUGAAGUUAAUAACUUCACCGAUUGACGUUACCCGCAGAAGAAGCACCGGCUAACUCCGUGCCAGCCGCCGCCGUAA
This 504-nucleotide ribosomal RNA is filed under the name uncultured bacterium. RNAcentral's name for it is "partial 16S ribosomal RNA". It matches the Rfam family "Bacterial small subunit ribosomal RNA", at positions 29 to 523 of the family's 1533-position model. The record is from RNAcentral.